CAAACGUUCAUUGAAAAAGAGAGGUUGCGAGGUUACCGAGGUUCAAAUUACGGGAAUCGCAAAUUGUUGUUAGAAGAACUUGCCAAAAUUACGAAAGGCUUGUUUAAGAAAGAGAACAUAUUGCUGAACAAAGAAAGAUCGCAGACUUGACAUGUCAAGGUAACCAUUGGAAAAAUUGAUCUCAGCAGCUCUCCAACUGUCCCAACCAAAAUGAAGGUCCAUUAAUUUCGAGGCCCCAAUUCCUUAGAAUUCUCAACAGAUGGGGGGUCUCUCCGAUCGCAAGUGCACAACCCACGCUUCCAAAGGCUCGAAGGCUGCGAACCAAGGUAUAAAAAGGAGUUCAGGGGAUCGAAUGAAGAUAGGAUCGGAGAUCACAAUUGAACUGAAGCCCACUAAGAGCCGCCCUGAACUGCUGGGAUAGCCAUUCAAGUCGUAUUUAGUGCAGGCGAAGAUACCAUCAGAGGCAAAGACAUUUCCAUUUCUGUCUUCUUCUUGUUCAAGACAGGAAAGAGCUCCGACCACAGCCAAGUGGAUUGGAUUGGGGGUAUUCUCCCGCCAACAUUGGCACAAACGUCCGACUCGGUCUCUAAUCAAGAUUGGCCUGUCAUUUUUUGCUAGUCUCUUGGGUCCUUCAAGCUACCAACUAAUAUCAAGGAGUGACGGUUAACUGAUCCUUUCGUGGUUGGUGAGAGUGGAGGGGUUGAAUGGGAUUCUUGGAGGGCUUUGGGGUCAACAGAAACAAGGGAUUAGGAGCAACAGUUCGCCUCUCCAUCCCCAUCAUCAUACUCGUCAGCAUCAUGAACAACAACAACAACCCUUCCCAUUGAAUGAGGAUCAGCAAUCAACUGGUUUUCACAUGAUCACAGGGGUAAAUAACAUCGACCACCAAACAGUAGGGCGACAUCGAGUCAAAACAGUUGUCCUUUGGACACGAGGAAAGACGUGCAUCCAACAGCGUGCGAGCUUUCGACAAGGAUUUCGAGUGGAUAUCGGACUGUGGUAGAUCGAGUUGGUUGACAUAUUGCACAAGACAACAAAUUUCCAUGAAUCUACGUGGUCGCGGUCGAUGCCGCUGCUGCUUUGGAAUCCGUUAAAGGAUUUGAGAGUAGCAAAAUCAGUUGGUUACUCGGUUCAAUGACACGAUGGCAUGAUUGAAAACGGUUUCAAUUCUCGAUUCCGAUGAACAAUAACAAGAUCAUCGGGCGGGAACGUGUGAGUUCAACGUUGGAAAAGGACAGGGUCUUCCUUCCUUUUACCUAGAUUCGAGAUUGACCAACGUCCUAACGGUUCAAUUAUUAAAGAAAAUCUAUGAUGAGCGCUCCACUCCCCCCCCUCAAAAAAGGGCCCGAAGGCUCAAACAAAAUGAAUUCCUCAAGUCGGACUUAAUUUACGAGUUGAAAGCUGUCUGAACGAACACAACCGUAAUGGAGUCUAUUUUGAUGUAACAUGUGGUCAGGACAUGUUCAAGUUCAUCCAGCCAGAAUGCGAUCAAACCACAAGCUAAAAGCUCACCACAAUAUCUAGAGUACGGUUAUUUCCCAACCAUUUUUGGAGGGAAUUUUUCCCGAUCAGAGCGAUCCUGACAUGCUGUCAUCAAAGUGAGUGUAUCAACCAUCAGGUGGUUGAUGUGAGGGGAUAAAGCAGGACCAGAUCAAAAUGAACCUUUCCAAAAGCUGGGUUGCAACACAAUUCGGAAGGAAUCAAGAAAACUUUGACGACCCACCACGACAACUUGAAUCUUAUCAGAAAAGUGUCGAACUUGAGCAAUCCGCCCAGCGUCUCAUUUGACACCCAAGAUCCUAGAGGAAUAUACUGUACGUGCUACGUACUGGUCCGCGUGUGGGGCUGUUUCAUCUUUAAACCACGACUAAAAUGACGAUGUCCCAAUCACGUAUUUCAUCACAGCCACACAGAACAGGCUCGAAGCUACGGGCAAGGCAGUCGUCAAACCAUCCACUGGCCCAACCACCCAACCAACCAACCAACCAACCAACCAACCAACCAACCAACCAACCAACCAACCAACCAACCAACCAACCAAGCGCCAAAUUUUUAGACAAACACGAUUCACGUAAACGUACUCAGUCCUACAUACGUACACAGGGAUGCCACUUCAACGUCGAUGGAUCGGAAUUGAUACUUAAAAUUUCUUGUUCGAUUUUUUUUUUAAAUCCUGGCCUCAUUAGCAUAUGGUUGAAAUUAAUCACCAGCCCUAUGAGUCAGGACGGCAUCCCGGGCAACCCUGUUUCCAUGGCUGAACUGCGUAUGGCUGUUUCAACGGACAAGGUGGGAAAUCUUCAAGGGCCCGACAGCUUCGCUUCGUGGUGAUCAAGGCAUGGGAGCAGCAUUAUUUCCCGCUACUUUCACCGUGAGACUCAUAUUCUUCCCGUAUGACCUUGUCACUGGGAUUCGAAAGACAAAAGAUCAUGAGGAUGAUAAUGUUCAUCAUCAUCACCACCACUUUUAUUAGAGCCAAUGUGUAUUGCCAAUUCUUCAUAAAGGGAAUAUAAUACAGGCUAGUUUAAAAAAAAUCUGAGCAAUAUAUUUUGGUGGCUCGUUUAACCUUCAAAUGAAAAUGAAUCCAUCACCCAGACCAAUGGUGACAACAUUGUUCAUGGCUUGCCAAUAGCGGGGUAUUGAUAGGAAA
This is a long non-coding RNA of Tigriopus californicus, 2647 nucleotides long. RefSeq lists it as uncharacterized. Lineage: Eukaryota; Metazoa; Arthropoda; Copepoda; Harpacticoida; Harpacticidae. The transcript is spliced from 5 exons. The record is from RefSeq and is a predicted model, not a curated record.